CCAGCAUGCCGUGCGAGCACUCCCCGAGGCAGGGGGCAGGGCGGCCCACCGGACCGCGGGAGUGUUGGCAGAGCCGCGGAGCGGUCGGCGAUCUGUGAGUUCUGCAACUCGCAAAAGGGGAAUGGAUCAGCUUGGGAGAUGUGGUGGGAAUCAGCCCUGCCGCUCCCGUGCUGGUCGGAUUUCUAGAUGAAUGACAACACGUUGCAGUCAGCUUGCGUCUUUUGUGGUUGGAUGCUGUCCUGGCGGAAGGCACCAGAGAAAUAGGUAUUUACAUGAAGAAAUUUAUAAACUGGUAUGCAUAGAAGAAGGAAAUAUCCAAAUAAAUAUAGUGAGAAGCCUGAGACCUUCAAGCAAACAGCAUCAACCCUAGGUCCCUGCAAGAUGAUGGAUACUCAAUAAAAUCGAUGGCUGAAGCUUCAAAUGGAUGCUCAGAGCUGAGGAUGGUGACAUAUGGAGGGGAAAAAUUAAGUACCUGCUGUUCAUGACAUAAACUGCAGGUGGAUUUUUAGGAUUACCUUACUCAAAAUAGCAUCCUGUCAAGGGAAAUCAUCUGUAAAAACCUGCAUUUCUCCACUUUCAAGGUGGGAAGAGAUGGUGUGGGUCCUGAAGUCUAGCACAUGCCUGCAAGAGAUCACAAACUCUCAUGCUGAACAUUUACCUGAAAUGAGCCAGAGAUGAUUCCAUGUGUUUUUGGAGUCUAAUUCAUAUAGCAUGUGGAUGAAAUUAAAUUUUUGGGAAGGGCAUCAACAUGUGACAGCUGAGAACAUAGGAAUGCUACAUCAAGAAUGCCAGCUGGCCAAAAACCAAGUAUAAAAAGAGCGGCACUGUGUCACUGAUAAAAUCUUUGAUCAUGAAAUGCUUUGUUUCUGCUGAGUGGCUGAGAAUUGAAAUGGGGUUGAACGUGCUCUAUCCUAUAUGAAUAGCAGCCAGACAGACAUAUGGGUAGGGUAGAAGCAUGUCCUCUAUAGACACUGGGAUUUCUCUCAUAUCUACUGAGAGGGCACAGUUACUACAAACCUUGAAGACAGAAAUACAGCUGGCAAGGACAUAACUCUCUUGUGCUAGGUCCAGACUUGAACCAAGUUUUUAUUGCAAUCACACUUUUUUUUUUUUUUCUUUUUUUUUUUAAGGAAGCUUUUAGAGUUCAUAAGUUUUCAAGAGGGAAAGGAAUUAAUCGGAGAGAAAAUCCAGAUCGUGCAGAAUUUAGCUUGGAAAAGAAAAAGAGAAAUUUUAAUUUCUACAGAUCAUUAAAAAAAAUAAUGCUUUUUAAAAAAUGCUAUUUUCAAUAUUAAUUAGAGAGAGAUUAUUUUUUUAGCAGGUUAACCUUUUAUGUUUUGAAUUUUAUGUUUUAAUUAAAAGGUUACUAAAAUAUAUAAUUUGUAAUUAAAAAUCAAAGCUCUUCCCAUCCUUAGGAAAUGCAUUUGAUUGCACUGUAAAAUUCUCUGUAAACUAAACUCAAAUUCAUUUUGUGAGAGAAAAGUAUUAUACUGCUGUUUUACCAUGUGGGAAAACAGAGUGCAUUGUAUUGAUAACGAACUUCUUCAAAUUUUAGAAAGCUAUGCUAAGUACAGGAGCUCUGAGAAAUCCUUUUUUUGUGGCUGCUGCUCUUUGCUGUCUUGGAAGGCCUGCUGCACUUGGUGAUGGAGGUGGAGUACCAUCUGGAACAAAGGCAAAUGAGGUUAUAGUGUGCAUCACAGGUGGUCAUCAUCUGCAUGGCCAGGUGCUGCUUUAAUACCCCCAGUUGAGGGGAUAUAUAUUAAGUGCCCCAUUUAAGGCAUUUGAUCAUUUUUGUCACAUCUCUGUCACACAGAGCAAUGAAUGCCACAGCCCUGAUAUUAUAAACUCCAAAAUGAAUCUUCUUUUUUUGCAAUAUUCCUUUCUGUCAGUUCAAGGGGUCACCUAUCUUCACCUGAAGAGGUUUAUAUAUUUGUUUUCUCCUUUUUACUCAGCUGAAAUCAUUUUAAAUGUCAGCUGUGAAUCAGAAACCCUUGGCAGGUUGGUAACAUCUGUGUCUCUGUUUUGCCAAAUAGAUCCAGCUGACCUUCCAGGGGUUCAGAUACCCUCUGGCAGAGCAAAAUGCCCCUGUCUGCCCAGAUGACACCAGAUAUCAUAAAAUCUGCCUGAUAUGCAUACAUCCAGUAUGUGUGCAUGUGCACGCAGCACAUUUCCACCACGUAUUUGCAGCCUGUUGGAAGAUCGGGGCCAUAGCUUAAACCAGAUAGUAAAGAGCUGUGAAAAAAUUAAUUGUACUUUCAGCUCUGUGAACACCGCAAAGCACUUCUAAAAUUAUAUAUCCCUGUUUCUUCCUCCACUCCCUCAUUUUAUCUACUUUGUAGCUCUUAUUAGUGUUAACUUUGUGACCAAAGCAGAGCCGCUUAGAAAAGAAAAGCUGCAGCAGGACAAAAAUAUAUUCUGGAGAAUAAAAAAGCACUGCCCGAUGAACGCAGAAGGAGAAGAGAAGCCAAUGGUUAGUUUUAAGCUUAAUUUCUGGUCUAAAACCAAAGACCUCUUUAUAGUCUAAUAGAAUUAUAGACUUGAGUCUACCAUUAAUAGCAUGCAUGGCGCCACUGUAAUAAAAAAAAAAAAUGGAAAUUCAUUGUCUAAGAAUGAUUUAUGAAGUUCAGUGAUUCAUGUCAGAGUUUCCACGACAUUGUGGUUCUCAAAAAAUCCCAGGUCCAACUAACAGCACUCAGUUAGACAUUGAUCCUUUAAUGAAUACGUGCAUUCCACUUUGGCAAUGUUACAAGUGUGGAAGUGAGAGAGGAAGAGAAUAUGUGCAGCAAAAUACUGAGAAACAUCCCUGGUAUGCUUUGUACUUAGAAUCUUUAAGUUAUUCAUUUCAUCUUUCCACCCCUGGGGACAAAUAUGUUCCACAGAACAUGUAACUUCUUCUGAAGAAAAUACACAUUUUAAAAAUUGAGUUCUUAAAAAAAUGGAAUAAGAAGAUGUGAGCAAGCAAAGAUCAGAUUUGAGGAUUGUUUUUGCAGUAAUUUAUUUCAGAUGUUCAUGCACGAAUAAAAAUACUACGUAGGAAAUCGUAAGUUGCCCAUUUUCUACCACACAUUGUCCAUGGUGUCUCUGUAGUUCACACAAAGUGGGUUUACUCUUUUUUUUUUUUUUUUUUUUUUUUUCACCAGGCACAUUUAGGUAUAAUGGUUCAGCUCUUCUUUGGUCAUCAAUAGGGAGCCUUGUUACUAUGGUGACAGACAGAUGGAUUAAUGUGAUGUUUAGAGAGAGAUGGCAGUGCCAAAUUUUGAUAUAUACAGUAAGCACUAAUGUAGUGCCUACACACGAAGGCAUGCAUGCAGAAAAUCUCAGGGUUAGUUCUUCCAUAGGCACAGAGAGAGUUUUGGCACAAAAUUCCCAUUAUCUCUUGACAGAAAGUGGCCAUCUGUCUCCCGCUUACAACCUUCAAAAAUUGCCUGUUGCAGUCAAGGGCUGUUGCUUUAGAAACUCUAAGCGAAUGUCUAAUGGGGCCUGGUAUAAAGAACUGCUGCUGUCAACAUGUAUAUAAUAAGCCAUGAAGCUACUGGUCAUCUGAGAGUCAUCGACUGUACUUCACUGCCUGAAGUGCAGUUUGCAUUACUCACUGCACCUCUCACUGAUUAGAAAGGAAUGUGAGGUAUACAAAAUCAACUGGAUCUUUACAUAGCACAGACAGACUGCAUGUAAUUAUUCCUAACAAAUUUCACAGUUCCUUCUCUCUCAAACCUUAAUGACUGGCACCUUCAUCACCCAUCUCACUCACCCCCUUACAUAGAGCUCUUAAUGAGCUUUCCUGUUUGUAGAGUAUUAGCUUAAUGGUUUGUGUCUUGCAAAAAUCCUCAGAGAAGAAAAUAAUAUAGGAGUAAAACAAGAUAGCUGAUGAAUUACCCAGCAAAAAGAACUAAGAUAUUAUGUCAGGUGCAUAGUUUAUUUUAUUCUCCCAUGUACCAUGUUUGAACUAUUCAUUUAUUGCAGAACUUCUUCACUGCAAAAAACUGCAGUAAGCAGCUAUGUUCAUUGAACAGUUGGAUAUUUUUAAAAGACAGAUUGACCUGCAGACUGAAAUUCUGGCACAAACUUGUUGCCCUUAGAAAUAUCCUAAAUGUGAAAUCAGAAGUACUUUACCCAGAUCAUACAAUUCAUUUAUGUUACAAGAGUAAUUUAAUUAGAAAUGUUUAUCAUCCAUCUGCACAAACUGAUAAUUAUCAUUCAUCGUGAUGAUAAUAUUCAGCUCUCCUUCCAGGUCUUUUUUAAUUGUAACAUUAACCAUAGCAAUUAAGCCCUGUAAAUGACCGCAAGAAGGGCCUUUGGAUACAAUCGUCUCUGGAGCUGAUAAAGAUAAGUAUACACUUCAUAUUCAUGCCAAUUAAUUCCGUGGCUGGAUUUCUCAAGUAGGUGACGUAUUAUAUUUGAACCGAUUUUAUAUUGGCCAACUCCCAACGAUAAAUAAAAUACUAGUCCCAUUUCUUUUCCCAGUGUUUUGCAACAUAUGCCAUUGCUAAAGCUCCCCAGACCAGUGUAGUUGGCCUCAUGAGGACACCAAGUGGCAAGGGCUGGGCACCGCAGCUCUCCUGGUCCAUUCGGGCAUCUGACAGAGCAGCUUCUAAAAAUGAUGCUGAAGAUGCUAGUAAUAUUUCUCUCCGCCUCUGAGAGCCAUCAUAACUUGGUGAGUUCGAUCUGAGUCAGUCAAAAGCAAACCAUGUUUGACAUCACGCUUACCCAGACCCUCUGAUUAAUUCACACUGGAUUUGUGGGGGAAUCUGCCCACCCAUACCACGUCAGUCAGGCUGAGGAAAAAUUCAGGAGGCCUCAGUCCAACCUCCUCUUCAAAACAGAGUCAGCCAUGAGUUCAGACCAGGUCUGAACAGCUUUAAACAGACAGCUGUGCAAAAUGCAGAAAUGAGAUGGCACAGCCUCUGUGUGCAACCUAAUCUGAGCCCAGCUGUACUCAUGGAGGACAGUUUUGGGGAGAUGUUUGAGCUACAGACUAUGAAGUAUCUCGUGAAGCCCACAGCAGGAGACACAUGGGGUAGACAAAUUCAUGUACUGAGCUGCCACCAAGAGGCCUCCAUCUUGCCAACUGUAAAUUUGGAAGUUUCCAAUUCUGCCCAUCUGAGACAUGAAGAACAGGUUGGCAAUAGGUCAUAACCUAACUGGUGGUUCAAGACCACCUCUGCUAUCUCAGGUCAGACAUCCAGGCAGACCGGCUGACUCUGAAGUCCCAGGCCAUAAUUUAAAGGCACCCUGGUACAACCAUUUCUUUUUUCUUUGCUGUUAAGUUUUUUGAAUUUUGUCAGAAAUAAAUUUUCUCUGGAUCAUGAUAAAGGUGUUUGUAGUACAGCAAAAUAACUACUAAAAGGUGAUAGAGUACUAUUCUACAAUGAAAUACAUACUGAAAUCCUUACGGACACAACAUCCAGUAAAAAACAAAACAAAACAAAUCAACUUCAUAAACGUAUUUACUAAGACUCUAAAGCAAUGGUAAUAUCACAGGCAUUGGGAAGAGAUCUAGUCUAGCAUUUGCCUCUCUAGUUAAGGAAGGAAUGUGGGCACAGACAAAGAGAUGCAAAUAUAUUUCACUUACACAGAGAGAAUACUUCAACCACUGAGAAGGUAAUAAAACAUGAAAUUUAGUAAGAGUUAAGAUUAUAAAAUAAGUAGAUACACAUAUGUGCAGGAAACCCCUCCAACAUUCUGAGAAGCAUCCCACAGAAACAUGCCAUCUCCUGCAGCUUCCCCACAAACAUCAGUCAGUUUUCCUCAGGAGCUCCCCAAGCAUCCCCAUCUCUGCAGAGUCACAUGAACAUAGUCCAGGGCACCGGGCAGCCUUGAUUCACAAUAACAUCUCUGAAACUCGCCUCUGACUAGCCCUAAUGUCAUCAUGUAUGAGUGCUAAUUUGGGAUUUACAGCUGGAACUCUGGUCACGCUGCCAUUGGAACUUCCGCCAUCUACUGAACUGUGGCCAGGCUCUGGCCAUACAGAGCUCUGGUGUCAGUGUAACAUUCACACACAGCUAGUCUUGUCCUAGGUCAAGCAUUGCCUACUGAAUAAACAAACGGAAAAGUGAAAUAAAAAAAAAAGAAGUUACUGUUAAAACAGAAAGGUGGGCCAGUGCUGAAGGAGAUGACUGGGCAUCCAGAGAUCCAUCCUCCAAGCCUGUGCCUACGCCAAAAAAUACUAAAGCAGAACUGCACAAACUGAUUGAUUUCUUCAUUUCCUCUUCUCUAAAUGGAAAAAUACCCCUCACAUAAAUCUUUGAAGAUAGCUCAAUCAAUAUUUUUAAAAUGUCUUCUCUUUUUCAGAUGCAAAGCUCUUACUAUAAUUGUUCUUGUGUCUGAUAGAUGAUCACUGAUCUUGUCAGUAUUUCUGUGGCUAAAUGCUAUAAAUCAUUAUUUAGUGACCAGACUUUUUCUAGAAAAGAUCCGAGAAUUUACUCCCAGUGUGGGAAUUUCAUACACCUGAUUCUUAAGAGAGGCACAACAGUAAGCAGUUCCUUAUCAUAAAGACAGACAGUACUGUUAGAAACAAAAUCAUAGACUCAGAAUGCUUCAAUUUCUUGUCCAGCAGACCAGAAAUUUGUUCUGAAAUACUUACACAGCUUACACACAGAGGGUGUAAGGUGCCCCGUACUUUCAAAUAUCAAAGCCUUCAGAAGUACAGGAGAUGAUCCAACUCAAAGAGUAAAACCUAGUUCUCCCAAGAGCAGAAGAACAGCUCAAACGCUUUUUCUUCUCUCCUUCCAAAACCAGCAUUUGGCUCUCCCGAAUUCUUUUACAUAAGCAAAUUCUGUUAACUGAAUAUGUCAUUUUAACAAGUAUUCAAAUCAACCUCCUGCAUGUUUUGAAUUGGAUUUUCUAUCUCCAGAACUGAUGCUGUGCUUUAUCUGCCAACUGUCUCUGCAGUGGCACUGAAGACUGCUCUGGAUACAUUCUAUCAGACACCUCAAUAACUCAGUAAACAUAUUUAUUAUGCCACAGUGCUCUUACAAACUAACCCUUUCUCCACUGAAGACCUGAUUUCUAUCUUAGUCCUGAAGUGAAACCAGCCUUGACUGUGAAUUGCCAGCAUUCUCUGCAGUCCUGCAGUUAGUUGUCUGCUCAUAAGACGACAGGAGCAGGAGAAACACAGAUCAGCAUUAUAUUAAGAAGUCUGCACAUGGUGAUUGUAUUUCUUGAGCUGCUUAUGGGAAGGAAUGCCACGUAUUCAUGAGGAUUAUUAAAACAAACAAACAAACAAGCUUAGGGAAUGUGUUUAUGCAAACUUGUUUCUUUUGUAUUUUUCUUAAAUUUAUUUUCUUUCUUUUAAACAAUAAAAGAGGCCCACUGAAGGAAGUCUACCAGCCACAAUUGCUUUGCUGUGAAAUUCUGCAUCCUGGCCAUUGCAAACCUCAACACAAAGUAAACAGUGCCUGAACUCAGCACUCACAAUUUAAUAAUUCUGUCCAAACUUUUAUCUGUAGUCAAAUUAAAUUAGUACAAGCAAUGCAUGUUUACUUACUUGCAUAUAUAUUUUCAUGGCCUCAUUUUAAGAACCUUUGAAUAUUUGAUACCAGAAUCAUUAAAAUUGGUCUUUCGAACAAAAAUGUGUCUAAUUUCAGGAAGAGAUAACUGAAUUGUAGAAAACAUAGCUGGUAGCUAUAUGUAGAUUGCUCUGUUUGCUUGUGUACUGUAAGAGUGACAGAGAAGGAAGAAGAGAUAAUGCAAAGCUCUUGUGUAAAUUGUACUUGAAAGAAUUACAUUAAGUUAUAUAACAAUUUCAAUGGACAUAAUUUUGCUGAACAUCUCUCUCUCUCUGUUUUAAAGCAUGACAAUUUGUUUUAUAACACUGAGAAUUUUAAGUUCCUCAGAAAGACACAGUGGAUUUCAUAGGUUUUAUGCCCUACUUUAAGUCUUUGUGAAUGAUUAAUAGAGACAGAUCUUAUCUGACUAUCUUAAAUGUAGAUUCUUGGCACUGUUCAAAUCAAGAUUAAAUAACGUUAUUAUUCCUUUUUCUCAUCUCCUUCCUAGUCCUGGAGAUUUGAAAGAAAGUGACUUAUUGAUUGAUGUGAACUCAAAAAACGAUCCUAAGAAGAAAAAAAUCUAGGAUUUUAUCAUCAAAGAUAAAAAGCACGUUAUUAUCUCUCACAGUUCAAUGAUUACUCUUGCAGAAACAGUG
Tympanuchus pallidicinctus (lesser prairie-chicken) is the source of this 8140-nucleotide long non-coding RNA. RefSeq lists it as uncharacterized. The record is from RefSeq and is a predicted model, not a curated record. The transcript is spliced from 4 exons. Lineage: Eukaryota; Metazoa; Chordata; Aves; Galliformes; Phasianidae.